Molecule: ribosomal RNA, 253 nt
Filed under: uncultured bacterium
Lineage: Bacteria
Description: partial 16S ribosomal RNA
Rfam family: Bacterial small subunit ribosomal RNA
Source: RNAcentral
UACGUAGGGGGCUAGCGUUGUCCGGAUUUAUUGGGCGUAAAGAGCGUGUAGGCGGCCAGGUAGGUCUGCUGUGAAAACUCGAGGCUUAACCUCGAGAUGUCGGCGGAAACCAUCUGGCUAGAGUCCGGAAGAGGGGAGUGGAAUUCCUGGUGUAGCGGUGAAAUGCGCAGAUAUCAGGAAGAACACCCGUGGCGAAGGCGGCUCUCUGGGACGGUACUGACGCUGAGACGCGAAAGCGUGGGGAGCGAACAGG